This 550-nucleotide ribosomal RNA is filed under the name uncultured bacterium. RNAcentral describes it as "bacterial SSU rRNA". It matches the Rfam family "Bacterial small subunit ribosomal RNA", at positions 28 to 621 of the family's 1533-position model. The record is from RNAcentral.
GAUGAACGCUGGCGGUAUGCUUAACACAUGCAAGUCGAACGGACUCUUCGGAGUUAGUGGCGGACGGGUGAGUAACGCGUGAGAAUCUGGCUUCUGGUUCGGGAUAACAGUGGGAAACGACUGCUAAUACCGGAUGUGCCUGCGGGUAAAAGGCUUGCUGCCAAAAAAUGACCUCGCGUCUGAUUAGCUAGGUGGUGGGGUAAGAGCCUACCAAGGCGACGAUCAGUAGCUGGUCUGAGAGGAUGAUCACCCACACUGGGACUGAAACACCGCCCAAACUCCUACGGGAGGCAGCGGUGGGGAAUUUUCCGCAAUGGGCGAAAGCCUGACGGAGCAAUACCGCGUGAAGGAAAGAAGGCUCUUGGGUUGUAACCCUCUUUUCUCAGGGAAUAAGAAAGUGAAGGUACCUGAGGAAUCAGCAUCGGCUAACUCCGUGCCAGCAGCCGCGGUAAUACGGAGGAUGCAAGCGUUAUCCGGAAUGAUUGGGCGUAAAGCGUCCGCAGGUGGUUAUUCAAGUCUGCCGUUAAAGAGUCUGGCUUAACCAGAUAUA